This is a long non-coding RNA of Alosa sapidissima (American shad), 1130 nucleotides long. RefSeq lists it as uncharacterized. Lineage: Eukaryota; Metazoa; Chordata; Actinopteri; Clupeiformes; Clupeidae. The record is from RefSeq and is a predicted model, not a curated record. The transcript has 4 exons.
CGAAUGACGUGGAUUCCUGUAACUGUCCAUGAAAACAGAAGGCAUAGCAGAGUCUUUGAGAGAGAAGGGGCUGGAGGAUUAUGACGACAUCACCACUGAUGACAAUGCCGCUAAAAUGACUAAAGAUGACUUGGAGGAGACAAAGCAUGCCAAUGAAAAAGAACAGGAGUAUGAUGACAUCACCAAUGAAGACAACCUUCAAUUUCCAUCAGUGGUAUGAGUGACUGUUGUUGCUAGGGAUUGAUUAUGAUGAUGUCGGGGCGGAGUCUGAGGAGUGACACAUGAAGAUAUCAGCAGAGCAGAGGACUCUCAUCAGCUGUGGUAGACUGGAGUUCCUAGCUUAUUGAUGAGAUGCCAAAUAUAUUUGAUAGCUUAUGACAAAGUAUGUGAAAUGCUUAUUUUUACAAUGGAUAUUUUGUAGGUUUUAUAAUGCCAUUUUUAUUCCAAAAAUUGAUUUUUAUGUUUUUUAUUGUGUGAUUUUUAGGCCAUGUACUUUUGUGUUUUUUCUUGCAAAUAACAUUCAUAUUCAGCUAAAAGUGUUAAACUUACAGUAAAACAUUAAAAAAAACCUCAAAAUUGUUUGCUGUGAGCAGUAAUAAUUUCACCAUUUCUUUGAAUAACAAAGACUUGUAAGCAAGCAAUAGCAUGAGGAAUACAAUUAUCAGUGAAUAAUUUUUCUGCUUUGUAGAUUUUCUUUGACAUUUAACAUUGAUGCAUUUUAAGCAUAUAUUGCAUAUUAAUCAGUGUGUAACACAUUCCUAACUACCAUUACACUGUUUUUGUACUAUGAGUCAAUUUGGCAGCUGAGACACCCCUGAGUAAAUCAAGAUUAGCAGAGCAGAAGUAAGCCAAUGCCGUCUCCCUUACUAAAACACUGUUGUAACAAGCUCUUAUGAGCAAGAAAAUAUCUAAUACUCACAGCUUCCCAUCUCCAUGCUAAUAUUUGAUUGGAUGACAUUGGAUGAUAUGUUUUCUGUGUGUAUCUUGACUGAACAAAUUCCUUAGUUGGUUGUAUGAACCCCCUACAGGCCGAAAUGUGCAAUUGUCAAAAACCUUUGAAAGCCAAAGACAUGUAAAAUGCUUCUGGACCUGUGAUGUAAACCUGAUAAAUAAACAGUAUUCUUCAAUAA